This 252-nucleotide ribosomal RNA is filed under the name uncultured bacterium. RNAcentral describes it as "partial 16S ribosomal RNA". It matches the Rfam family "Bacterial small subunit ribosomal RNA", at positions 524 to 776 of the family's 1533-position model. The record is from RNAcentral.
UACGGAAGGGGCAAGCGUUGUUCGGAAUUAUUGGGCGUAAAGGGCGUGUAGGCGGCUUCGCAGGUCUGUGGUGAAAGGAUACAGCUCAACUGUAUUGAGCCACGGAAACGGCGUAGCUUGAGGCUGGGAGGGGCUGGUGGAAUUCCCUGUGUAGCGGUGAAAUGCGUAGAGAUGGGGGAGAACACUCGUGGCGAAGGCGGCCAGCUGGACCAGUACUGACGCUGAGACGCGAAAGCGUGGGGAGCAAACAGG